GUGCUUGCUUUGGCAGCACAAGAACUAAAAUUGGAAUAAUACAGAGAAGAGUAGCAUGACCCCUGUGCAAGAAUGACACACAAAUUUGAAAAUAGGGAAACAAUUCAU
Molecule: small nuclear RNA, 108 nt
Organism: Pteronotus mesoamericanus
Lineage: Eukaryota; Metazoa; Chordata; Mammalia; Chiroptera; Mormoopidae
Source: RefSeq, a predicted model, not a curated record